RNAcentral lists this ribosomal RNA (253 nucleotides) under uncultured bacterium. RNAcentral's name for it is "partial 16S ribosomal RNA". It matches the Rfam family "Bacterial small subunit ribosomal RNA", at positions 524 to 776 of the family's 1533-position model. The record is from RNAcentral.
UACGUAGGGGGCAAGCGUUGUCCGGAUUUAUUGGGCGUAAAGAGCGUGUAGGCGGCUAGAUAGGUCCGUUGUGAAAACUCGAGGCUCAACCUCGAGACGUCGAUGGAAACCAUCUGGCUAGAGUCCGGAAGAGGAGAGUGGAAUUCCUGGUGUAGCGGUGAAAUGCGCAGAUAUCAGGAAGAACACCGGUGGCGAAGGCGGGUCUCUGGGCCGAUACUGACGCUGAGGAGCGAAAGCGUGGGGAGCGAACAGG